This 71-nucleotide transfer RNA is filed under the name Cordylochernes scorpioides. Its description in RNAcentral is "tRNA-Gly". The record is from RNAcentral. Lineage: Eukaryota; Metazoa; Arthropoda; Arachnida; Pseudoscorpiones; Chernetidae.
UGCAUCGGCCGGGAAUCGAACCCGGGCCGCCCGUGUGGCAGGCGAGCAUUCUACCACUUAACCACCGAUGC